AGUGAACGCUGGCGGCAGGCCUAACACAUGCAAGUCGAACGGCAGCACAGUAAGAGCUUGCUCUUACGGGUGGCGAGUGGCGGACGGGUGAGGAAUACAUCGGAAUCUACUUUUUCGUGGGGGAUAACGUAGGGAAACUUACGCUAAUACCGCAUACGACCUACGGGUGAAAGCAGGGGAUCUUCGGACCUUUCGCGAUUGAAUGAGCCGAUGUCGGAUUAGCUAGUUGGCGGGGUAAAGGCCCACCAAGGCGACGAUCCGUAGCUGGUCUGAGAGGAUGAUCAGCCACACUGGAACUGAGACACGGUCCAGACUCCUACGGGAGGCAGCAGUGGGGAAUAUUGGGCAAUGGGCGAAAGCCUGAUCCAGCCAUACCGCGUGGGUGAAGAAGGCCUUCGGGUUGUAAAGCCCUUUUGUUGGGAAAGAAAAGCAGCAGGUUAAUACCCAGCUGUUCUGACGGUACCCAAAGAAUAAGCACCGGCUAACUUCGUG
This 492-nucleotide ribosomal RNA is filed under the name uncultured bacterium. RNAcentral describes it as "partial 16S ribosomal RNA". It matches the Rfam family "Bacterial small subunit ribosomal RNA", at positions 29 to 507 of the family's 1533-position model. The record is from RNAcentral.